AACAUAUCACUGUACGUGAUCUAUUGUCGCACUUUAAUUGUUUCAUGUGGCCAUAUUUCAAUUCCCUACUCUAUCAUCCGCUAUAGUGCAUUCGUUUGCAUCCAGCAACCAGGUAACUCUCUCCGAACAGUUAGCCCUAAUUCUGAAAUUAAGAACCAUUGGUUAAUAUAUGGAGGAAGACUGUGUAGUUCAUCGUAAUUCUGAAAUCAUUUCAAUCAACAAUGAACGAAAUUGUGAUAAUCCCUCUCAGUCUAUAUAUCCUCUAUUAGAUUUCGUAUUUCAAACUGUUAUUGAGCCUGCAAUAUGUGAACAAAAUUGCGCUUCCAUUGUUGCUUUGUUUAAUUUUUCAAAGGAACCAUGAGAUUUCUCUUACGAUCGACCCAUUUUAAAAAAAGGUUGAUGAUUCGGCGUUUGUGUAUGAUGAGUUAAACCCGAUGCGAAUAAAACUAAGGACUUGUAGAAAUGAUAAAAGCUUGGGAAUUGUUGCAUGAAUGGAUGAAGUUUGGGAAAGUUGAAGCUGCACUCUAUAAUGUGCUUUUAUCAGGGUUAGCGAAAGAGCCAGACUACAAGAAGAUAAAUUUGUUGCUAAAAGAGAUGAAGGAUAAACGUGUUAUACGAGCAUUAGCUUUUAUUCAAGGUUAUCCAUUAGUUGCUUCAGGCCUGAAAGUUAUCCUACUCAAGUGGACUGGUUCUGAGUUUAAUAGUGUUCCUUUUUUAGAGGUUAAACACUGGUGUGCUUAACACUUGCAUUCGAGUUAAGUUAACUUCUUUCAAUUUUGUUUAACCCUUGCAUUCAAACACUAAGCAGUUGCCGUUGUAGUCUGGAUGGCAGUUUCCAAGAUCGCGGUCCACGGCUGCAGCUCUGUUUGGCCAUUUGAGAUGAUAUCAGGUAAAUCUUAUAUGCAAGUAACAGAUGUCAACGAUGAACUUAGGCAGAAGACAUUGAUUGUAUUGGGAGACUCAAAAGAGAAACUCAAUUCCAACAGAUACCUUUUUUUUGUUCAUUUUUAUAGAGGCCCGAUGAAUUCCAAAUCGUGGAACAAAACUGUUACUGAUAGUUUGGGUUUGGCUCAGUUUCAAUUUUCAAUGGUUCAGUUUUGGUUUCGAUAAAAAGAAACCGUUACUAACGGUUUGGCUUAUGGUUUAAACUAAAAACCGUCAAAAUUGGACCGUGAACACCACUAUUUGCUAUCAAUUCACUUGCCACCAAAGAUCAACUGGAUUUCCAGCUUACUCCAAAGGGCCAGCAUAUGUUGUUUAAGCCCUUCACCCCAAGUUCGAAUUCCUCCCAGAGUUGCGACAUAUCUGGAUUCUGGAGCCAGUGCUGUUCUUGUAGAACAAGCUGAUCUGAUUCAGAUAGGUAUGGGUUUGUGCUCUGUAUUGUGUUUCUUUCGAUGGCAGCAUGGAUGACACUACUAAUCUUCAAUUCUGUGGUUAUUGUGGUGCCUGUGUUACCUGGAUGAGUGCUUUUUAACUAAGUUUCUCUUUUUCGAAUAACACAUGGCAUAAAAUGCAAUGGUAAGAAGUUUAAAUGGACGACCUGUUUGUGAAUCUUAUGCAAUGCUCUAACUGGAAUUACCAUUUUGGUAGACAUGUAUGCAUUCAUUAUUAGAAGUUAUGUCAUCUUGACUGUACUCGCUGGUGUAAGAUAUCCACUUGGUAAAAUUUAAACAAGGAGAGCUACAUUCUUAUUAGGUCAAAUAUUGAAAUGGUGUUCCAUUGUUGUGAAAAGUUCUGUAUUGUUCUCUAUUUGGGUAAGGCCACAUUUUCAGUUAGAGAUUGUUCAGGAGUUUCGUAUGCAAUUUAUUUCAUAUGUAGCGUUUCUACAGCCUUUCAUCAUCGUGCAGGUAUGCUCCAUAUGUCUUAUUUUUAUGUUAAAAUUAGGGGAUCAAACGAGCCGAGCUACUUGAGUACGACUCAAAAAAAAGCUCGAACGAGCUGAGCUUAAACGAGCUCAAGUUUGAGACCGAUCUUAAAACAAGCUCGUUUAGUAAACGAGCCCAAGCCCGAGCUUCGUUCAUUGAGCUCGAUCUGGCUUGUGAGCCUAAACAAGCCCAUUGUUUAUUUAUUUUUCUGUAAUGUAUUACAUAUAUAUUUAAAUAAUAAUAGUCAUUAUUUGUUAUAUUAUGUAAAAUAAGUAAAUUUUAUAUAAACUAAGGACUAUAACUAAUAAGAAAUAAUUAAUUAAUAAAAAAUGAGUUGAGCCUGAGCCAAGCUUAAGCUUCAAAAAUUACUUACGAGCCUGAGCUCGAGCUCAGGCUCGGCUUAUUUGCACCCCUAGUUAAAUUGUCAUCAUAUCCGGCUUGAAAAUAGCAAUCAAUCUUGUUAAGUUUCAGAAGCUAGCUUAGCAUCAGUUUUGGAACUAAUGGAAAUUUGGCAAGGCACAUGGUUCUGAAGCUACUGUAAUAGCGGAGUUUUUUUGAAGGAUAACACAAUAUGUUCAUGUUGAGUGAUGGUUUGCUCUUGCUCUUGCGAAUCUGGAAAACAUCCAUAAUUAAUGGCAUUUAUUUCUAGAUGGGUUGUGCGAAUGGCGCUGGUGUAAUUUUAAGUGAAUAUGAUGAAGAAGUUGCUAAUGACGCACCUGGAAAGCAUUCACAGUUGUAGCAGGUAGGUUUGGUGCUCUUGCAAGUGUUGCUAGUUGCUAGAAGUGAUGAAUGUUCUCUUGCAGUUGCUGCUUCAUUUGUAGAUAGUUUUUUUUAUUAAAAGUUUGUGUCUUUAUUAUUUACAUUGAAAAUUAUAUAUGGAUUUUGGUUUAUUAUUCUUAA
Molecule: long non-coding RNA, 2765 nt
Organism: Helianthus annuus (common sunflower)
Lineage: Eukaryota; Viridiplantae; Streptophyta; Magnoliopsida; Asterales; Asteraceae
Exons: 7
Source: RefSeq, a predicted model, not a curated record